RNAcentral lists this ribosomal RNA (254 nucleotides) under uncultured bacterium. RNAcentral describes it as "partial 16S ribosomal RNA". It matches the Rfam family "Bacterial small subunit ribosomal RNA", at positions 524 to 776 of the family's 1533-position model. The record is from RNAcentral.
UACGUAGGGUGCAAGCGUUGUCCGGAAUUAUUGGGCGUAAAGAGCUCGUAGGCGGUUUGUCGCGUCUGCUGUGAAAACCCGAGGCUCAACCUCGGGCCUGCAGUGGGUACGGGCAGACUAGAGUGCGGUAGGGGGAGACUGGAAUUCCUGGUGUAGCGGUGAAAUGCGCAGAUAUCAGGAGGAACACCGGUGGCGAAGGCGGGUCUCUGGGCCGAUACUGACGCUGAGGAGCGAAAGCCAGGGGAGCAAACGGG